RNAcentral lists this ribosomal RNA (510 nucleotides) under uncultured bacterium. RNAcentral describes it as "partial 16S ribosomal RNA". It matches the Rfam family "Bacterial small subunit ribosomal RNA", at positions 28 to 507 of the family's 1533-position model. The record is from RNAcentral.
GACGAACGCUGGCGGCGUGCUUAACACAUGCAAGUCGAACGAAGAGCGAUGGAAGCUUGCUUCUAUCAAUCUUAGUGGCGAACGGGUGAGUAACGCGUAAUCAACCUGCCCUUCAGAGGGGGACAACAGUUGGAAACGACUGCUAAUACCGCAUACGAUCUAAUCUCGGCAUCGAGGAUAGAUGAAAGGUGGCCUCUACAUGUAAGCUAUCACUGAAGGAGGGGAUUGCGUCUGAUUAGCUAGUUGGAGGGGUAACGGCCCACCAAGGCGAUGAUCAGUAGCCGGUCUGAGAGGAUGAACGGCCACAUUGGGACUGAGACACGGCCCAGACUCCUACGGGAGGCAGCAGUGGGGAAUCUUCCGCAAUAGACGAAAGUCUGACGGAGCAACGCCGCGUGAGUGAUGACGGCCUUCGGGUUGUAAAGCUCUGUUAAUCGGGACGAAAGGCCUUCUUGCGAACAGUUAGAAGGAUUGACGGUACCGGAAUAGAAAGCCACGGCUAACUACGUG